ACUUGAAAUUACCUAUCUGCCAUGGGGAUGUACUGCCCUCAGUACUCUCUCAACAAAUCUAGCAGUGCAGGUUCUCUCGUGCACUAAGUAUUUCCGGCGGCGAUGCCUGCUUAUAUAUUUCUGCUUUCAUGUAUUAAACCUUACAACCUGGGACUAUUUCAUGAUAAUAUGUGAACUGAAAGAAAGGUUCAGCUAUUUGUUAUUUUAGCUGAGUUUAAUUUCUUAUUCUCGUUUAGUUCAAAUUCGUAUUCUACUUCAGUUCAUUUUCUAAAAUUUUGUUUAGUGUUAUACAUACCCAAGACUAGAACUCUUGGAUGAUUACAUUAGAUGAGUUAAUUAAUUAAAUAUGUUUUCCAACCUCAGGUGCAACCUUGCCAGCAACGUGUUGACGGUUCCUCUAUUUCUCUUGUUGCUACUCCAAGCCGCAACACCUCAUGCCGUCAUCAUCUCUGCAGGGCCACUGCUCCAACCUGUCCCCUAUCGCAGCCCCACCACUCGUUGCCGAUGCACUCCAACCCGAGGACCUCCAAGAUGGAGGUCGCCUCGCAGCCUAGCGACGAGUUCGAGGACGGACACCCCAGGUUCUCAAGCAGCAAAGUUAUCGCACAAAGUCGAACUUGCUGUUGCACCAUCUUCACCAAGUCAAACUUGCAGCAGCCAGGGGAUCCACAAUUGUUGGGAGCUGUUCAAGUCGAGCUAUUACCGCAGUCCAAGUGUUACUGCGACCACCAUCUUCACCCAGCGCUGCACCCAUUGAGCACCCACACAGUGAGAACGCCAUCUCAUUUUUCUUUGAACAUUUUCUUUCUGAUUCAUGCUCGCGGAUGGAUCAGCUACUAUUCAUUUAGUUUGUACUCUCUGAACUGUGGCUGGGGUUCUUCGCGCGCUAGCGCCGCUGCCGGCCCCGUACAGCUAAGUCCUUGGCCCACUGCACGCCUUGCUGCCCUCGACCUUCCUCUCACAGGCAUGCUACCCCAACUUUCAUUUUGAUUCUCAGUUCAAGUUGUGUGUUCUUUUCGUUGCAUUGUGCUUUAAAUGUGCAAAAUCUUGAGGAAAUCCUGAAAUAUUAUGUGUGCAAUAAAGGUAAUUAAGUGCCUUUAGAAAUUCUGACAGUCCAUCCCAGACUAAGCAAACAAUACAUGUUAGUGUUGGUUUUUUAAGAGAAUUUAGUAUUAGUUGAUCAACAUUUUGAUGCUUUUUCACUAUGUCUGCACUUCGUUAUAGUUAAGCAUUGAUCCAUUUCUCAGCUGCAAGUAAAUAAUGAUCUUGCACUUCAUUAUAAUGCCCUCCCCCUCUGUUUCUCUUCCUCUCUAAAUCCCCUUUCUGUCACUAAUUUAUUUUCUCCCUGAAUGCAGCACGAGGGAGGCUGGAGCGACUGCAGAUCGGUGACAAGAGCCACUUCAGUUCUGUUGUUCGUGUAUUGGAAGUACGUAUCCUCUAUCCGGGCAGGAGAUAGAGAACAAAAAUAAGAUGUAUGGGUUACUUCUUGGCCUAGCUGAGAGAACCCUCAUGUUGAAAAGUAUAAAGAAGUUCCGAAGCAAUUCCUAGUAUCUUUAGAAGCAUUCAUGGUUAAAAGCAACGACAAUCUCCUCCGUUCAAGUUGAGCACUGGUCAUCGUCCAAGUUGAGCGCUAGAUGCCGUCCAAGUUCAAAGAUGGUUGUAUGCAAGUACAGAAGUUUGUUUUAGUGAGAAAAAAUGCGGGUUUUUGGACAAUAUUAUGUAUGUUUGAUUUGCUCAACCUUAGAACUUGGAGAUAUCCACUCUAUUUUUCCAUGAUGAAGGCACA
This is a long non-coding RNA of Aegilops tauschii subsp. strangulata, 1786 nucleotides long. RefSeq lists it as uncharacterized. The record is from RefSeq and is a predicted model, not a curated record. NCBI's taxonomy places the organism in Eukaryota, Viridiplantae, Streptophyta, Magnoliopsida, Poales, Poaceae.